RNAcentral lists this ribosomal RNA (441 nucleotides) under uncultured bacterium. RNAcentral describes it as "partial 16S ribosomal RNA". It matches the Rfam family "Bacterial small subunit ribosomal RNA", at positions 338 to 795 of the family's 1533-position model. The record is from RNAcentral.
CCUACGGGAGGCAGCAGUCGGGAAUAUUGCGCAAUGGAGGAAACUCUGACGCAGCGACGCCGCGUAUAGGAAGAAGGUUCUCGGAUUGUAAACCAUUGUCGUUAGGGAAGAUAAAAGACUGUCCCUAAGGAGGAAGCCCCGGCUAACUAUGUGCCAGCCGCCGCGGUCAUACAGAGGGGGCAAGCGUUACCGGGAGUUAUGGGGUGUAAAGGGUGUGGAGACGGAAGAACAAGUUGGUUGUGAAAUCCCACGGCUCAACUGAGGAACUGCAACCGAAACUAGUCGCCUUGAGUGUCGGAGAGGUAGGUGGAAUUCCUGGUGUAGCGGUGAAAUGCGUAGAUAUUAGGAGGAACACCGGUGGCGAAGGCGACUUUCUGGACGGUAACUGACGUUGAGGCACGAAAGUGUGGGGAGCAAACAGGAUUAGAUACCCCUGUAGUC